This 484-nucleotide ribosomal RNA is filed under the name uncultured bacterium. RNAcentral's name for it is "partial 16S ribosomal RNA". It matches the Rfam family "Bacterial small subunit ribosomal RNA", at positions 29 to 507 of the family's 1533-position model. The record is from RNAcentral.
AUUGAACGCUGGCGGCAUGCUUUACACAUGCCAGUCGAACGGCAGCGCGGGCUUCGGCCUGGCGGCGAGUGGCGAACGGGCGAGUAAUACAUCGGAACGUGCCCAGUAGUGGGGGAUAGCUCGGCGAAAGCCGGAUUAAUACCGCAUACGACCUGAGGGUGAAAGCGGGGGAUCUUCGGACCUCGCGCUAUUGGAGCGGCCGAUGGCAGAUUAGCUAGUUGGUGGGGUAAAGGCCUACCAAGGCGACGAUCUGUAGCUGGUCUGAGAGGACGACCAGCCACACUGGGACUGAGACACGGCCCAGACUCCUACGGGAGGCAGCAGUGGGGAAUUUUGGACAAUGGGCGAAAGCCUGAUCCAGCAAUGCCGCGUGUAUGAUGAAGGCCUUCGGGUUGUAAAGCACUUUUGGCGGGAACGAAAAGGACUGUGCCAAUACCACGGUUCGAUGACGGUACCCGCAGAAUAAGCACCGGCUAACUACGUG